This 256-nucleotide ribosomal RNA is filed under the name uncultured bacterium. RNAcentral describes it as "partial 16S ribosomal RNA". It matches the Rfam family "Bacterial small subunit ribosomal RNA", at positions 524 to 776 of the family's 1533-position model. The record is from RNAcentral.
UACGGAGGAUGCAAGCGUUAUCCGGAAUGAUUGGGCGUAAAGCGUCCGCAGGUGGCGAUGUAAGUCUGCUGUUAAAGAGUGAGGCUCAACCUCAUAAGAGCAGUGGAAACUACAUAGCUAGAGUACGUUCGGGGCAGAGGGAAUUCCUGGUGUAGCGGUGAAAUGCGUAGAGAUCAGGAAGAACACCAGUGGCGAAGGCGGCAUCCUGGACCGGCAUUGACGCUGAGGCGCGGAAAGCCCAGGGGGAGCAAACGGG